AAUGGAUGGACGCAGCCUGAUCCAGCCAUGCCGCGUGCGGGAAGAAGGCCUUCGGGUUGUAAACCGCUUUUGUCAGGGAAGAAAAGGUUCUGGCUAAUACCUGGGACUCAUGACGGUACCUGAAGAAUAAGCACCGGCUAACUACGUGCCAGCAGCCGCGGUAAUACGUAGGGUGCAAGCGUUAAUCGGAAUUACUGGGCGUAAAGCGUGCGCAGGCGGUUAUGCAAGACAGAGGUGAAAUCCCCGGGCUCAACCUGGGAACUGCCUUUGUGACUGCAUGGCUAGAGUACGGUAGAGGGGGAUGGAAUUCCGCGUGUAGCAGUGAAAUGCGUAGAUAUGCGGAGGAACACCGAUGGCGAAGGCAAUCCCCUGGACCUGUACUGACGCUCAUGCACGAAAGCGUGGGGAGCAAACAGGAUUAGAUACCCUGGUAGUCCACGCCCUAAACGAUGUCAACUGGUUGUUGGGAGGGUUUCUUCUCAGUAACGUAGCUAACGCGUGAAGUUGACCGCCUGGGGAGUACGGCCGCAAGGUUGAAACUCAAAUGAAAUUUGACGGA
This 559-nucleotide ribosomal RNA is filed under the name uncultured bacterium. RNAcentral's name for it is "bacterial SSU rRNA". It matches the Rfam family "Bacterial small subunit ribosomal RNA", at positions 363 to 917 of the family's 1533-position model. The record is from RNAcentral.